UACGUAGGGGGCAAGCGUUGUCCGGAAUUACUGGGCGUAAAGCGUGCGCAGGCGGUUCGUUGUGUCGGCGGUGAAAGCCCCGGGCUUAACCUGGGAAUGGCCGUCGAAACUGGCGAACUGGAGUGUGGCAGAGGGGGGUGGAAUUCCGCGUGUAGCAGUGAAAUGCGUAGAGAUGCGGAGGAACACCGAUGGCGAAGGCAGCCCCCUGGGCUGACACUGACGCUCAGGCACGAAAGCGUGGGGAGCAAACAGG
Molecule: ribosomal RNA, 253 nt
Filed under: uncultured bacterium
Lineage: Bacteria
Description: partial 16S ribosomal RNA
Rfam family: Bacterial small subunit ribosomal RNA
Source: RNAcentral